AACGUAGGACGCAAGCGUUAUCCGGAAUUACUGGGCGUAAAGAGCUCGUAGGUGGUUUGUCGCGUUGUUCGUGAAAACUCACAGCUCAACUGUGGGCGUGCGGGCGAUACGGGCAGACUUGAGUACUGCAGGGGAGACUGGAAUUCCUGGUGUAGCGGUGGAAUGCGCAGAUAUCAGGAGGAACACCGGUGGCGAAGGCGGGUCUCUGGGCAGUAACUGACGCUGAGGAGCGAAAGCGUGGGGAGCGAACAGG
RNAcentral lists this ribosomal RNA (253 nucleotides) under uncultured bacterium. RNAcentral describes it as "partial 16S ribosomal RNA". It matches the Rfam family "Bacterial small subunit ribosomal RNA", at positions 524 to 776 of the family's 1533-position model. The record is from RNAcentral.